CGAUUUUUAAGCUGAGCAGACUGGACCUGACUCUUGGAGGAGACUUAGAAGCCUUCAAAUUAUGGAUUGUCCUAAUGGGCCUGACCUUAGACCGGGGUAAAGAAAUCCAGCGGUCAUCACAAAUGAUUUAGGAAAAAAAUUCAGUUGAGCAAUUACUGUGAGAAGUAAAAGAAGAAACUGAGAGAAGUUUACGCUGAAUUAAAG
Molecule: long non-coding RNA, 204 nt
Filed under: Manihot esculenta (cassava)
Lineage: Eukaryota; Viridiplantae; Streptophyta; Magnoliopsida; Malpighiales; Euphorbiaceae
Description: long non-coding RNA (MESC_LNC001492)
Source: RNAcentral